CCCUUAGAUGUUCUGGGCUGCACGCGCGCUACACUGAUGCGCUCAACGAGUUUAUGCCCUUGCCCGGAAGGGUUGGGUAAUCUUUUUAAAACGCAUCGUGAUGGGGAUAGAUUAUUGUAAUUAUUAAUCUUCAACGAGGAAUUCCUAGUAAACGCAAGUCAUCAGCUUGCAUUGAUUACGUCCCUGCCCUUUGUACACACCGCCCGUCGCACCUACCGAUUGAAUGGUCCGGUGAAAACCUCGGAUUCUUACUUGAUUCCAGUAAUGGAGACUUGCGAGGAGAAGUCGUUUAAACCUUACCAUUUAGAGGAAGGUGAAGUCGUAACA
This 327-nucleotide ribosomal RNA is filed under the name uncultured eukaryote. Its description in RNAcentral is "partial 18S ribosomal RNA". It matches the Rfam family "Eukaryotic small subunit ribosomal RNA", at positions 1470 to 1796 of the family's 1831-position model. The record is from RNAcentral.